RNAcentral lists this long non-coding RNA (596 nucleotides) under Sorghum bicolor (sorghum). RNAcentral describes it as "long non-coding RNA (SBIC_LNC003073)". The record is from RNAcentral. Lineage: Eukaryota; Viridiplantae; Streptophyta; Magnoliopsida; Poales; Poaceae.
AGUGGUUAAAAGAUAGAACAGUCUAGUCAAGUGCCAUGUCUCUUAUUCUUGAUCAGCUAUAGCUCUGGUGUUUUUGCAGAUUUUCAAAUAAAACUCAGAGAUUCCUUGUAUGAUUCUCUCAGAUCUCUCUUUUGUGGUAUUUCUGGAUCCUUACCAAGGCAGUGAUGGUAUAUGCCUUCUCUCAAGAUAUGUGGUAUUUGUGGUAUAAAGCAUAGUGACAUUGUCUUCUCUCUCACCCUAUUCUAAUAAGGCUUUAAUAUCUGGAGCUCAUAGGUGGGAGAUAAAGUAUACAUACUUACAAGACAUUUAUUGCAUAGUCAAACCAUGGAUCCAAAGAAACAAAUCAAUAAGCCAAAUCAAGAUGUGCAUGUGUAGCGAAUGAAUGGUGUAUGGUGAUGAUGGUGAUAACAAUGGUGGAAGUCUAAUUCUACUUUUGCUCUUUUGAGGGGAUACAUACCUUCCUUGCUUUCUGAAACUUUAUGAGGAGAAUGAGAUGCUCUAUAUUUUUCUUUUCUCUCAGGUGGGUAUCUUGUACCCCUAAUUCUACUGCCGGACACUUGUCCAUUUUUACCUCUCGUCUCUCUUUUUCUUUUCUU